This 253-nucleotide ribosomal RNA is filed under the name uncultured bacterium. RNAcentral's name for it is "partial 16S ribosomal RNA". It matches the Rfam family "Bacterial small subunit ribosomal RNA", at positions 524 to 776 of the family's 1533-position model. The record is from RNAcentral.
GACGUAGGGGGCCAGCGUUGCUCGGAAUUACUGGGCGUAAAGGGUCCGUAGGCGGUGCGGUAAGUCGGGAGUGAAAUCUCUGGGCUUAACUCAGAGGCUGCUUCCGAAACUACCGUGCUAGAGUGCGAGAGAGGCAAGUGGAAUUGCGGGUGUAGCGGUGAAAUGCGUAGAUAUCGGGAAGAACACCCGUGGCGAAGGCGGCACUCUGGGACGGUACUGACGCUGAGACGCGAAAGCGUGGGGAGCGAACAGG